GAUGAACGCUAGCUACAGGCUUAACACAUGCAAGUCGAGGGGCAGCAUGGUCUUAGCUUGCUAAGGCCGAUGGCGACCGGCGCACGGGUGAGUAACACGUAUCCAACCUGCCGUCUACUCUUGGACAGCCUUCUGAAAGGAAGAUUAAUACAAGAUGGCAUCAUGAGUCCGCAUGUUCACAUGAUUAAAGGUAUUCCGGUAGACGAUGGGGAUGCGUUCCAUUAGAUAGUAGGCGGGGUAACGGCCCACCUAGUCUUCGAUGGAUAGGGGUUCUGAGAGGAAGGUCCCCCACAUUGGAACUGAGACACGGUCCAAACUCCUACGGGAGGCAGCAGUGAGGAAUAUUGGUCAAUGGGCGAGAGCCUGAACCAGCCAAGUAGCGUGAAGGAUGACUGCCCUAUGGGUUGUAAACUUCUUUUAUAAAGGAAUAAAGUCGGGUAUGGAUACCCGUUUGCAUGUACUUUAUGAAUAAGGAUCGGCUAACUCCGUGCCAGCAGCCGCGGUAAUACGGAGGAUCCGAGCGUUAUCCGGAUUUAUUGGGUUUAAAGGGAGCGUAGAUGGAUGUUUAAGUCAGUUGUGAAAGUUUGCGGCUCAACCGUAAAAUUGCAGUUGAUACUGGAUAUCUUGAGUGCAGUUGAGGCAGGCGGAAUUCGUGGUGUAGCGGUGAAAUGCUUAGAUAUCACGAAGAACUCCGAUUGCGAAGGCAGCCUGCUAAGCUGCAACUGACAUUGAGGCUCGAAAGUGUGGGUAUCAAACAGGAUUAGAUACCCUGGUAGUCCACACGGUAAACGAUGAAUACUCGCUGUUUGCGAUAUACUGCAAGCGGCCAAGCGAAAGCGUUAAGUAUUCCACCUGGGGAGUACGCCGGCAACGGUGAAACUCAAAGGAAUUGACGGGGGCCCGCACAAGCGGAGGAACAUGUGGUUUAAUUCGAUGAUACGCGAGGAACCUUACCCGGGCUUAAAUUGCAGAUGAAUUACGGUGAAAGCCGUAAGCCGCAAGGCAUCUGUGAAGGUGCUGCAUGGUUGUCGUCAGCUCGUGCCGUGAGGUGUCGGCUUAAGUGCCAUAACGAGCGCAACCCUUGUUGUCAGUUACUAACAGGUUCCGCUGAGGACUCUGACAAGACUGCCAUCGUAAGAUGUGAGGAAGGUGGGGAUGACGUCAAAUCAGCACGGCCCUUACGUCCGGGGCUACACACGUAUUACAAUGGGGGGUACAGAGGGCCGCUACCACGCGAGUGGAUGCCAAUCCCCAAAACCUCUCUCAGUUCGGACUGGAGUCUGCAACCCGACUCCACGAAGCUGGAUUCGCUAGUAAUCGCGCAUCAGCCACGGCGCGGUGAAUACGUCCCCGGGCCU
This 1358-nucleotide ribosomal RNA is filed under the name uncultured bacterium. RNAcentral's name for it is "bacterial SSU rRNA". It matches the Rfam family "Bacterial small subunit ribosomal RNA", at positions 28 to 1381 of the family's 1533-position model. The record is from RNAcentral.